Molecule: small RNA, 1954 nt
Filed under: Histoplasma capsulatum var. duboisii H88
Lineage: Eukaryota; Fungi; Ascomycota; Eurotiomycetes; Onygenales; Ajellomycetaceae
Description: Histoplasma capsulatum H88 hypothetical RNA
Source: RNAcentral
ACUACCCUUUGUUCAGAAGAUUCUAUUGUCCAACAAAUAGAUGUAUUCCCUCCGAAGCGCUGUCUUGAUAACGGUAUAUCAGCGGCCGAGGGCUUGCAGACAACCUCGGCCAUGGAUUUCGAGUUACGCGCGCGUGACUAAGCCGGACAAACUGGCUUCCCAACCCGAUUUCACAACUUCCCUUCCGCCUCUCUACUAUGUUGUUUGUUAAUUUCAUCUUUCUCGUAGAUGCCGAUUUGCUGAAUAGUGUGUUAAAAGGGCCUUUUGUCAGGGUGGAUUAUGGAAUCGUCUCCGUUAACUUUGGCGCAUUCCCAUGCCCGAAAUGCCCUCUUCGAAACACACAAAUCUAACCCAGUAGCUGCCAGCGAGGAACACGACCUUGCAGCCGGAGAAUUUUCAACCGCAGCACAAGGCACCCUUGAUCCUGAGGCGUUGCGGACCCUCCAGCUCCUCGAGAAACAUCACAAACGGCUUGCAGAAAUUCUUAGAUUUCAACAUGAACACCCUUCGACCGCUUCUCCUGAGCCUACAAAUUCACCACCACCGACCCUUUCAACCGCCCAAACCAGCAAAUUUAACGCUCAAGUUGCCCGAGGAGCGUCACAUGCUGCAACUUCACCCCCAGAGAAUGUCCACCAACCACCUCGUCUAGCCACUCAGCAUAGAUCUCUCCAGCGAGAUACGAGUUCAAUAGCAAGCAAUCUGGCAUCCGCACGCGGUAUUCCUUCCCACCCGCCCCGAGCGAGUCUUGCGUCUCCCGCCGUUUCAACACAGAAUGCCGGAGCGAAAAUGACUGGUGUUCCAGGGCGCACGAGACUUGAUGGUACUGGCCUCGAUGCGCUAAACGCCGAUUUAAAGUCUCGCCCCGGCUUGGCUUCCAAGCGUAAACCGUCAUGGGCUCCAACCAGUCCCACAGAUAUCGUCGACCAACAAACAGUUCCCCCAGAGCCAAGUGAGACACCUAAACUUGGUUUUGGAUUCUCAACCGAUGAGUCGUUCCAGCGCUUUUAUUCGACCUUUGAGGGUCUCAUAUCCAAGUUUUCUGCCCCCCUAGCAUUUGCUAGUUUGCCUCUGGGCAUUGAUCCAACCAGCCAGAAAUCUGCAGCAAAUACGCGCCUCGACCGGAAUCCUGCCUCCGCAGACAUUUCCAGCCAUCUUACAGAACAAACAGACGUGAACAAGCUAGUAUCGAGAGCUGCACUGCGUGCCCUUCGGGACAGAGAUGGUUCCAGCCGCUCGCCAGGCCACUCGAAUCCUGCAGAAUCAUUCUACGUCGUCCCUACCGCGGGUGGAACAAUAUCGUACGCGGGCAUUCUUUCCCGAGCUGAAAAGGAAGCCCGUAGGGACAGCCUAGCCGACAGCCGUGACGACGAUUUUGUCGAUGCGCGCGAAAACCCGAUGCCCCCAGAAUCUUCGCCUACAGCCCGGACACCGGACAGGGAUCGAAAGCCAACUGGGGGGAGGCAUAAAGGAGCAGGCGCCUCGGAAAGCCGCUCGACACAGGCUGCAGCACAUCAUCAGGAUAUGAACACGAAGACCUUGGAAGAACUGCAACUGGAGAACCAGGCGCUGAAGCACCUGUCAGACACGCUGUCGAAGCGGCUGCACAUGUGGGAAGUCAACGCGCAGUCAUCGUCAUUAGCAUUGCAGCAGUCUCUCAAAGCAAUGCAGCACCAAUCCACCGCCUCACCUGCCCGCCAGCUCUCUCCCAUAGCGUCGACUGCGCCGCAAGCAUCCCAUAAUCAUGGAGUACAGUCGCCAUCACCACCGCCUUCAGCAGCCGGGGCGCUGGUGCCCUCGGGAGAGGGCGCGGCUGCGGGAAUGCCGCAAUCAUCCAACACUGACGUGGCUCGGAUUUUAGAGCUGGAAGAGCGCGCACGGAAGAGCGAGAGGGAGUUGCAGCGGGUGGGCCGCGAGAAUGAGAAGUUGAGAGAUGUGGUGGGGAGAUAUCGGG